This 249-nucleotide long non-coding RNA is filed under the name Capsicum annuum. RNAcentral describes it as "long non-coding RNA (CANN_LNC014410)". Lineage: Eukaryota; Viridiplantae; Streptophyta; Magnoliopsida; Solanales; Solanaceae. The record is from RNAcentral.
GAAAAAUGACCCAAUAGCCCUUAAAUACGCGGAAACAAAAACUGGAAAAAUAAGAAAGUGUGCUAUGGAGCAUGCGCCGCGGGCUCUGGAGCACCAAAAUGGAGCGUGCGCUGCAGGCUUUGGAGCACUGAAAUGGAACAUGCGCCAUGGGCUCUUCUCAUGCUACUGAUGUAUUGGACCUCUAAACAUGCCCUUACGUUCGUCCAAAAAUUCUAAAACUUACCCGAGAUUGACCUUUGACACUCCCGA